UGGACAGCCCUGGAGACAGAAGACCUUCAUUUAGCCACAGAACAGACACAGCAAGGGCAAUAGCAGUUAAAGCUUCCAUACAGACCCACAGGGACAACUUUGGGGGUCAGAGUACAGUUCAGUCUAAAUAGCCCCUUUAGUCCUUCCCUGUU
This is an unclassified non-coding RNA of Gopherus agassizii (Agassiz's desert tortoise), 152 nucleotides long. The record is from Ensembl. NCBI's taxonomy places the organism in Eukaryota, Metazoa, Chordata, Testudines, Testudinidae.